AUUAAUUCGAUGCAACGCGAAGAACCUUACCUGGGUUUGACAUAUGCCGGAAAGCUGCAGAGAUGCAGCCCCCGCAAGGUCGGUUUACAGGUGGUGCAUGGCUGUCGUCAGCUCGUGUCGUGAGAUGUUGGGUUAAGUCCCGCAACGAGCGCAACCCUCGUCCUAUGUUGCCAGCGGGUCAUGCCGGGGACUCAUAGGAGACUGCCGGGGUCAACUCGGAGGAAAGUGGGGAUGACGUCAAGUCAUCAUGCCCCUUAAGUCCAGGGCUUCACGCAUGCUACAAUGGCUGGUACAAAGGGCUGCGAUGCCGUAGGUGGAGCGAAUCCCAAAAAGCCAGUCUCAGUUCGGAUUGAGGUCUGCAACUCGACCCCAUGAAGUCGGAGUCGCUAGUAAUCGCGGAUCAGCAACGCUG
This 412-nucleotide ribosomal RNA is filed under the name uncultured bacterium. RNAcentral describes it as "bacterial SSU rRNA". It matches the Rfam family "Bacterial small subunit ribosomal RNA", at positions 945 to 1359 of the family's 1533-position model. The record is from RNAcentral.